This 194-nucleotide small nuclear RNA is filed under the name Lates calcarifer (barramundi perch). Its description in RNAcentral is "U2 spliceosomal RNA (ENSLCAG00010028147.1)". It matches the Rfam family "U2 spliceosomal RNA". From Rfam's summary of the family: U2 is a small nuclear RNA (snRNA) component of the spliceosome (involved in pre-mRNA splicing). Complementary binding between U2 snRNA (in an area lying towards the 5' end but 3' to hairpin I) and the branchpoint sequence (BPS) of the intron results the bulging out of an unpaired adenosine, on the BPS, which initiates a nucleophilic attack at the intronic 5' splice site, thus starting the first of two transesterification reactions that mediate splicing. Lineage: Eukaryota; Metazoa; Chordata; Actinopteri; Centropomidae. The record is from Rfam by way of RNAcentral.
AUCGCUUCUCGGCCUUUUGGCUAAGAUCAAGUGUAGUAUCUGUUCUUAUCAGUUUAAUAGUCUGAUACGUCCCCUACCCGGGGACCAUAUAUUAAAUUGAUUUUUGGAUCAGGGAGCCGGAACGGGGGCUUGCUCCUUCCACUCCACGGCAUCGACCCGGUAUUGGCAUUACCUCCAGGUACGGUGCACAUUCU